AGCGUUGUCCGGAAUUAUUGGGCGUAAAGAGCUCGUAGGCGGUUCGGCAAGUCGGAUGUGAAAUCUCCACGCUCAACGUGGAGGGGCCAUUCGAAACUGCCGUGACUCGAGUCCGGUAGGGGAGUGUGGAAUUCCCGGUGUAGCGGUGAAAUGCGCAGAUAUCGGGAGGAACACCAGUAGCGAAGGCGGCACUCUGGGCCGGUACUGACGCUGAGGAGCGAAAGCGUGGGGAGCGAACAGG
Molecule: ribosomal RNA, 241 nt
Filed under: uncultured bacterium
Lineage: Bacteria
Description: partial 16S ribosomal RNA
Rfam family: Bacterial small subunit ribosomal RNA
Source: RNAcentral